ACGACGCUGGCGGCGUGCCUAAUACAUGCAAGUCGAACGGUCUUUCUAUGGAAGCUUGCUUCCACUGAGAAGAUAGUGGCGAACGGGUGAGUAACACGUGGGUAACCUGCCCAUAAGAGGGGGAUAACAUCCGGAAACGGGUGCUAAUACCGCAUAGUUUUUCUUGAUCGCAUGAUCGGGAGAGGAAAGACGGCCUUUGUGCUGUCGCUUAUGGAUGGACCCGCGGCGUAUUAGUUAGUUGGUGAGGUAACGGCUCACCAAGACGAUGAUACGUAGCCGACCUGAGAGGGUGAUCGGCCACAUUGGGACUGAGACACGGCCCAAACUCCUACGGGAGGCAGCAGUAGGGAAUCUUCCGCAAUGGACGAAAGUCUGACGGAGCAACGCCGCGUGAGUGAAGAAGGUUUUUCCGGAUCGUAAAACUCUGUUGUCAGAGAAGAACAAGUUGGAGAGUAACUGCUCCAGCCUUGACGGUAUCUGACCAGAAAGCCACGGCUAACUACGUGCCAGCAGCAGC
This 517-nucleotide ribosomal RNA is filed under the name uncultured bacterium. Its description in RNAcentral is "bacterial SSU rRNA". It matches the Rfam family "Bacterial small subunit ribosomal RNA", at positions 32 to 518 of the family's 1533-position model. The record is from RNAcentral.